RNAcentral lists this ribosomal RNA (774 nucleotides) under uncultured Neocallimastigales. RNAcentral describes it as "partial large subunit ribosomal RNA". It matches the Rfam family "Eukaryotic large subunit ribosomal RNA", at positions 20 to 616 of the family's 3401-position model. Lineage: Eukaryota; Fungi; Neocallimastigomycota; Neocallimastigomycetes; Neocallimastigales. The record is from RNAcentral.
UACUAGAGUAGCACUCGCAUAUCAAUAAGCGGAGGAAAAGAAACUAACAAGGAUUCCCCUAGUAACGGCGAGUGAAGCGGGAAGAGCUCAAAUUUGAAAUCUUAAAGGGUUUCCCUUUACGAAUUGUAGUUUAAAGAAGUGUUUUCUGUUGAGGUUUUGGUAAAAGUUCUUUGGAAUAGGACAUCAUAGAGGGUGAGAAUCCCGUAUUUGACCUUUACUUUCAACUUUGUGAUACACUUUCAAAGAGUCGGAUUGUUUGGGAAUGCAGUCCAAAAUGGGUGGUAAAUUUCAUCUAAAGCUAAAUAUUGGCGAGAGACCGAUAGCGAACAAGUACCGUGAGGGAAAGAUGAAAAGAACUUUGAAAAGAGAGUUAAACAGUACGUGAAAUUGUCAAAAGGGAAGCGUUUGACACCAGUGUUGUUUUUCUGAAAAUCAAUUAAAGAACUGUUUAUGCUAAGCCGUUUAGACUUUAUCAGCUAUCUGUUUAGUUUUGAGCUUUUCUUUAAUGCACUUUUCAGUUAACAAGUCAACAUCAAUUUCUUUUGCUGUAAAAAAGCUUGAGGAAGGUGGCUUGAGAUUCGUCUUAAGUGUUUAUAGCCUCUUGCCUAUGCAGUCGGAGAGAUUGAGGUCUGCAGCGUAGAUCCUUCGGGGCUAAAUGCAUUUGUGCUAAGUUAUAGCAUUUUAUAGACAACUUGUUGACUAUGAUUUGUCUUGUAGCUUACUCGCUUAUGUUAUUUUACCUACGCUUAGGAUGUUGAGCGCAUGUCUCUCUCU